RNAcentral lists this long non-coding RNA (373 nucleotides) under Manacus vitellinus (golden-collared manakin). Its description in RNAcentral is "lncRNA (ENSMVIG00005003375.1)". The record is from RNAcentral. Lineage: Eukaryota; Metazoa; Chordata; Aves; Passeriformes; Pipridae.
CAAAUGCUUGGAUAAACUUUAAAUGAUUCUCAGGUUCCUGUGUGAAUAAUGAGCUUAACACUUAUGUAUGUAUUUGUUUGCAGUGGCUUUCAGACAGGAAGAAAAGAGCUUUACAGAAGAAAGAUGUGGAUAUCCGUAGAAGAAUUGAACUUAUUCAAGACUUUGAAAUGCCCACAGUUAGCACAAAGAUUAAGGUAUCAAGAGAUGGACAGUAUAUUAUGGCAGUUGGAACUUACAAGCCAAGGGUCCGUUGUUUUGAUACCUAUCAGUUAUCCCAGAAAUUUGAAAGAUGCUUAGAUUCUGAAGGUUAGUAUAAACUAUGGCUGUUAACACAAGAUAUCUUUCAUACAUAAUUCAGGUUGGACUCCAGUAC